UUUCCUUCACCACUAGGCAGAGAACUCAAUGACCAAUCUUCAUUUACUCCAUUGUCAUUUUCUUAGCAUUGACUUCUUGAACCUGAAAAUGAUAAACCUAAUUGAUUAGAUUCAAUGUACAAUCAAUUUUUAGUGAAGCAUGAAUGUAUGAACAAAGCAUGAAUUCAUGAACUAUUUUUGCGUGCAAUUUAUUAUGUUACUUUGUUUGAGACUUAAUUUUUGUGAUUAUUUUUGUGUAUUUUUAUAGGUUAGACUCAAUUCUUCAAAGGAUCUUGCUUGUGUUGCACAAGGUAAAGAAAUGUUUUUCUAUCAAGUUCAAUUUGAUAUUUAUUUUGUAUUGUUGUUUUCUAUAAAACAUAAUUUCAUGAAUAUUUAUUUAGUGAAGAAUGAAUAUAUAUAUGAACAAAGCAUGAAUAUAUAUGAACAGCAUGAAACCAUGAACCAUUUCUUUCUGCAAUAUAUUAUGUGUGAUUAUGUAUUUGUUCUGUUUUUUUCAUAGGCCAGCCUCACAUUUUCAAAGAUCUUGCUUGUGUUUCACAAAGGUAACGAAAUGUUUUUCUAUCAAGUUUAGUUUGCUAUUUAUUUUGGUUGGAUGUUUUGCAACAAAGCAUAUCAAAUACAUAUUACUUUUCUGCAGUCAUAACAAAAAAAACUGUGGUGCAAUUUACUAACAAUUACAUCUCUACAAAUAGACAAUUAAAACAUGUAUUUUCAAGAUUGGAGUAAAAGUUGUUUGAAUUGUGUUAAUGUGAUUCCAGCUAUGGCGAAGGAAGGAAGGAGUGGUUGAGAACAACUCAUGGAGUCUACACACAACCAAUAGAUGACAGUGACUUUAAGUAAAAUGGUAACAUAAUGAGAGGAC
RNAcentral lists this long non-coding RNA (862 nucleotides) under Trifolium pratense (red clover). Its description in RNAcentral is "long non-coding RNA (TPRA_LNC013552)". The record is from RNAcentral. Lineage: Eukaryota; Viridiplantae; Streptophyta; Magnoliopsida; Fabales; Fabaceae.